AAUAUAGUGCCUGAUAUAAAAGGAUAGUUUUGAUAGAACUAAUAAUGUAAAUAUUUACCUAUAUUA
RNAcentral lists this transfer RNA (66 nucleotides) under Nanhaipotamon hongkongense. RNAcentral's name for it is "tRNA-Ile". The record is from RNAcentral. Lineage: Eukaryota; Metazoa; Arthropoda; Malacostraca; Decapoda; Potamidae.